This is a long non-coding RNA of Triticum dicoccoides, 1489 nucleotides long. RefSeq lists it as uncharacterized. The record is from RefSeq and is a predicted model, not a curated record. The transcript has 2 exons. NCBI's taxonomy places the organism in Eukaryota, Viridiplantae, Streptophyta, Magnoliopsida, Poales, Poaceae.
GACGGCUCUUGUUCUUUCUUUCUACUUCAUUCAUGUCUAGGGCUGUUACAUUCGUUCAAAUGCCAAUCUUUAAUUGUCCAGCCUUUGUUAGAUUCUUCAUCUUGAUAGAAAAUCUGAAGAGAAAAUUAGCUAAAACAUGCCGUUCAUCUCAGUGUUAGAAGUAGUGUUUUUUGAAUACACUGCUGCAAAUUUUCUAAUGGCAGAUCCGCAGAUGUUAAGAUACCCAGAAGUGGUCAAUUCUUGUUUUACAUUUUGAGGAUUUGUGUAGCUAUGAUAGAUUGAUCUAUUCAUAUGUUUUUUUGUGGGGUUGCACGUUUUGGUAAUAUCGUAGGUAAUGCAAAUUCAAUAAUGUUUAUGGUUGGAAUGUGUACCUAUUAAUCUUUUGUCAAUCAGCUAACGGGAAAAAGUGAUGUCUCGGUACACGUUGUAAAACUUACAUGUGCAUACUGGUCCAGUUGUUUGUACUUAGAAACAGUUUUGGUUCUUAACAUCUUUCAAAGGAUAGCUGUUUAUACUUUGUUUUGCACUGUUGCUUUCAGGUUCAGUAUAGUUGGGUUAUUGCAUUUGUUUGUAGUCCCAUCCUAACAGAACAAUUCCGUUAUUUGUCUUCCGUUGUCAAUUAUAUUAGCUUGAUCACUUUUGCUUGAGGGGUUAGUCCUGGUAUUUGGUUCAAGAGAAACAUCGCAAACGUAAAGGUAAUGGUGUUACCAGCACGCUGGUACCGUAGACGUAAACGGACAAAACUCAAACUUGUUUGGUAGCGGACUGUAACGUAAUCAAUUCGUCUCCAGAGAAGAAAAAAGCUAACAAAUCUCAAAGGAGCAGCCAUGGCAGGGCUCUCUCUGGGUCUGGCAUGGUCGUGAUUGCUGAUGCAGAGGGGCGCCACACGGGGACGUCGCCGAUGCAGUGGGAGUCUGGCGGACCAUGGACACCAGGGGCUUGUCGGCGACCGCGGCAAGCAGCAGGCCCAGCGGCGACGCCGACGCCCUGUAGACGUGGUUGUCGUCAAUGAACUCCUUGAAGAACAGGAACGGCGGGCACCUCGUGUUGCUGAGCCUGGCGACGGCAAUGUCCACGUCGGCCUCCACGAAAACCACACCCUUCCUGGCGCAGUCCACCACCAGCUUCCGACUGGCCUCCUCGCGCAGCCAGCCGGCCAGCAUGUACUAGUGCACCAGCGUCUCCGCCGUGGGCGCUGGCUGAGCCGUCGACGGCAACAUGUCCAGUGAUGGCGGACAUGACUUAGGCGGCGGUGCGUGGGAUGAUAGCAUGUGGUGCAAGAGAGCCGGGUCGAUCCAAACAAGAUUCAUUGUUAUCCCUUACCAGCGUAAACAGGUUACAAAUUGGUGAACCAAACACCUUCCUAGUUUUUGCAAACUAAUACUUGAACCACUUAUCAAUCAUGUCUUGUCUUUUUUAGUUUCGUUUGAUAUAAGACUAUGGUUAUGUUAUACAGAAGAUCAACAAAUCUGUGGUUAGUGCAUUUAAC